Long non-coding RNA from Lathyrus oleraceus (garden pea), 938 nucleotides. RefSeq lists it as uncharacterized. Lineage: Eukaryota; Viridiplantae; Streptophyta; Magnoliopsida; Fabales; Fabaceae. The transcript is spliced from 2 exons. The record is from RefSeq and is a predicted model, not a curated record.
AUAGAAACAUGGGGGGUUUGCUGAAAAUUCAAUCACGUGCAUAAUUGACUCACGUUCUUCACGAGUUGAGAACCAAAAGUUCAAAUGCCUUUUGUUUCCCUCCAUCUGAACUCUCCUCCGCCGCACCGGAGGUCGCGUUCGGUGGUGGUGGAGCCCUAAACGUCAAACAAAACAUGCCAAAACCUUCCUUCCAUUGCCCUGAGUCUUAAUCUCAAGUCCAAAUUCCGAAAUUUCCCAACAUUUGCUUAAUUCGAACCAAUCCAUACAUGAACCCUAGCCAACCAAAAUUGAAAUUAAAUCUUUAUCCUCCGAAUCAAAGCCCUAGAGUUUAGGGCUUUGAUUCCCCUCCCCGAAUCCUACAUCCCGGUAGCUAGCACAAAGCAAACGAUGAAGGAAAAACAGAUACUCAUCGGAGAAGAUGCAGCUGACACCGGACUUCAGUUAUUGUGAAUGUCAUGGAUGAUUGGCUUGAAUGGAUGGUUGUUUGGUACAUGAUGUUUGACCUGCUUUUGACUAUCAUGCAUGGUUGGAUAAUGUAUGUAUGUUUGAAUGCUUGGUUGUUGGCUUGUGGAACAUGACCUCAAGACAAGGCAAAACAAGGCUUGGCACUUGAACAUUCAAGGCAUGACAAAAACCAAACUUGAUGCAAAAAAGGGGUUUUCUUGGUCAUGAAGAAAGUUAAUGAUGGAAUCACAUGGAAAGGUGCAAGAAUGGAUAUACAUUAAGCAUUAGGGUUUAGGUCAUGUAAAAAUAGGUUAGUUGACUUUGAUCAACUAGUUGACCAAAAAGUCAACAGUUGACCAAAAAGUCAACAGUUGAUCAAAAAAAGUAAACUUUUGUAAAUAUUUUAUUUUAUUUUGUACGGACAAUGUAAAAUGAUAAUGUAUGAAUGAAUGGACACCCUUUUGAAUGAAAGUGGUAUUUAUGAUUGAAUGAAA